UUUUUAUAUAUAUAUUUAUAAGUAAAAUUUGCUCCAUGAAAAUAAAUAGCCGCAGAAUUUUAACUGUGCUAAGGUAGCAUAAUCAUUUACCUUUUAAUUAAAGGUUUGUAUGAAUGAUUUAACAUUUAAAUUACUUUUUACUUACUUUAAUCUAAAUUAAACUAAUCAUUAAAAUGUGUUUAUAAAAAAAAAAGACGACAAGACCCUACUGAACUUCACUUAUGUUAAGCUGGGGAAGCUAAUUAAAUAUAAUUUUAAUUUUAAUUUAUACAAUCUUUUCUGAAAUAUUCAAUUUAAACAAGUUACCAUAGGGAUAACAGCGUAAUAAUUUUUUAAAGCUCUUAUUAAAAAAAAUGGUUACGACCUCGAUGUUGAAUUAGAAUUACUUUAAAACGCAAUAGUGCUAAAAGUAGGUCUGUUCGACCUUUAAUUUUCUACA
This 439-nucleotide ribosomal RNA is filed under the name Troglohyphantes bolognai. RNAcentral describes it as "partial large subunit ribosomal RNA". Lineage: Eukaryota; Metazoa; Arthropoda; Arachnida; Araneae; Linyphiidae. The record is from RNAcentral.